AGCAGCCGCGGUAAUUCCAGCUCCAAUAGCGUAUAUUAAAGUUGUUGCAGUUAAAAAGCUCGUAGUUGAAUUUUGGGUCUGGCCGGGCGGUCCGCCCUCUGGGUGAGCACUGUUCCGACGCCGGGCCUAUCCUUCUGGUGAGUCGGCAUGUCCUUUAUUGGGUGUGCCGGGGAACCAGGACCAUUACCUUGAAAAAAUUAGAGUGUUCAAAGCAGGCGUAUGCUCGGAUACAUUAGCAUGGAAUAAUGAAAUAGGACGCGUGGUGCUAUUUUGUUGGUUUCUAGAACCGCCGUAAUGAUUAAUAGGGAUAGUUGGGGGCAUUAGUAUUCAAUUGUCAGAGGUGAAAUUCUUGGAUUUAUUGAAGACUAACUUCUGCGAAAGCAUUUGCCAAGGAUGUUUUCAUUAAUCAAGAACGAAAGUUAGGGGAAUCGAGGACGAAUCAGAUACCGUCGUAGUCUUAACCAUAAACUAUGCCGACU
This 479-nucleotide ribosomal RNA is filed under the name uncultured Ambispora. RNAcentral describes it as "SSU rRNA". It matches the Rfam family "Eukaryotic small subunit ribosomal RNA", at positions 569 to 1047 of the family's 1831-position model. Lineage: Eukaryota; Fungi; Glomeromycota; Glomeromycetes; Archaeosporales; Ambisporaceae. The record is from RNAcentral.